GAUGAACGCUGGCGGCGUGCCUAAUACAUGCAAGUCGAGCGAACAGACGAGGAGCUUGCUCCUCUGAUGUUAGCGGCGGACGGGUGAGUAACACGUGGAUAACCUACCUAUAAGACUGGGAUAACUUCGGGAAACCGGAGCUAAUACCGGAUAACAUGUUGAACCGCAUGGUUCAACAGUGAAAGACGGUCUUGCUGUCACUUAUAGAUGGAUCCGCGCCGCAUUAGCUAGUUGGUAAGGUAACGGCUUACCAAGGCAACGAUGCGUAGCCGACCUGAGAGGGUGAUCGGCCACACUGGAACUGAGACACGGUCCAGACUCCUACGGGAGGCAGCAGUAGGGAAUCUUCCGCAAUGGGCGAAAGCCUGACGGAGCAACGCCGCGUGAGUGAAGAAGGUCUUCGGAUCGUAAAACUCUGUUAUUAGGGAAGAACAAAUGUGUAAGUAACUAUGCACGUCUUGACGGUACCUAAUCAGAGAGCCACGGCUAACUACGUG
This 497-nucleotide ribosomal RNA is filed under the name uncultured bacterium. RNAcentral describes it as "partial 16S ribosomal RNA". It matches the Rfam family "Bacterial small subunit ribosomal RNA", at positions 28 to 507 of the family's 1533-position model. The record is from RNAcentral.